RNAcentral lists this ribosomal RNA (835 nucleotides) under marine metagenome. RNAcentral's name for it is "bacterial SSU rRNA". It matches the Rfam family "Bacterial small subunit ribosomal RNA", at positions 8 to 838 of the family's 1533-position model. The record is from RNAcentral.
AGAGUUUGAUCAUGGCUCAGAUUGAACGCUGGCGGUAGGCUUAACACAUGCAAGUCGUGCGAGAAAGUACCUUCGGGUGCGAGUAGAGCGGCGGACGGGUGAGUAACGCGUAGGAAUCUACCUAGUAGAAGGGGAUAGCCCGGGGAAACUCGGAUUAAUACCGUAUACCUCCUUAGGGAGAAAGAGGGCUUAGCUUUGAUGCUCUCGCUAUUAGAUGAGCCUGCGUAAGAUUAGCUUGUUGGUGAGGUAAUGGCUCACCAAGGCGACGAUCUUUAGCUGGUCUGAGAGGACGAUCAGCCACAUUGGGACUGAGACACGGCCCAGACUCCUACGGGAGGCAGCAGUGGGGAAUAUUGGACAAUGGGCGCAAGCCUGAUCCAGCCAUACCGCGUGUGUGAAGAAGGCUUUCGGGUUGUAAAGCACUUUAAGUAAGGAGAAAAAGAUUGUAGUUAAUACCUGCAAUCCGUGAUGUUACUUACAGAAUAAGGACCGGCUAAUUCCGUGCCAGCAGCCGCGGUAAUACGGAAGGUCCAAGCGUUAAUCGGAAUUACUGGGCGUAAAGCGCGCGUAGGUGGUUUUUUAAGUUGGAUGUGAAAGCCCUGGGCUCAACCUAGGAACUGCAUCCAAAACUAGAUGACUAGAGUACGAAAGAGGGAAGUAGAAUUCACAGUGUAGCGGUGGAAUGCGUAGAUAUUGUGAAGAAUACCAAUGGCGAAGGCAGCUUCCUGGUUCUGUACUGACACUGAGGUGCGAAAGCGUGGGUAGCGAACAGGAUUAGAUACCCUGGUAGUCCACGCCGUAAACGAUGACAACUAGCUGUUGGGAGACAAGAUCU